GACGAACGCUGGCGGCGUGCUUAACACAUGCAAGUCGAACGGAAAGGCCCUGCUUUUGUUGGGUGCUCGAGAGGCGAACGGGUGAGUAACACGUGAGUAACCUGCCCUUGACUUUGGGAUAACUUCAGGAAACUGGGGCUAAUACCGGAUAGGAUCUCCUGCUGCAUGGUGGGGGUUGGAAAGUGUCGGCGGUUGGGGAUGGACUCGCGGCUUAUCAGCUUGUUGGUGGGGUAGUGGCUUACCAAGGCUUUGACGGGUAGCCGGCCUGAGAGGGUGGACGGCGACAUUGGGCCUGAGGUAGGGACCAGACGGCUACGGGAGGCAGCAGUGGAGAAUAUUGCACAAUGGGCGGAAGCCUGAGACAGAGACGCCGCGUGCGGGAUGACGGGUUUCGGGUGGUAAACCGCUUUGGCAUGAGACGAAGAGGGAGUGACGGUACUGGGUAAAGAAGCACCGGCUAACUACGUG
This 468-nucleotide ribosomal RNA is filed under the name uncultured bacterium. RNAcentral describes it as "partial 16S ribosomal RNA". It matches the Rfam family "Bacterial small subunit ribosomal RNA", at positions 28 to 507 of the family's 1533-position model. The record is from RNAcentral.